GAUAAACGCUAGCGGCAGGCCUAACACAUGCAAGUCGAGGGGCAGCAUUUAAAUAGCUUGCUAUUUAAGAUGGCGACCGGCGCACGGGUGCGUAACGCGUAUGUAACCUACCUUGAACAGGGGGAUAAUCCAGAGAAAUUUGGUCUAAUACCCCAUAACACUAUUUUAGGCAUCUAAUAUAGUUGAAAAUUCCGAUGGUUCAAGAUGGACAUGCGUGACAUUAGCUAGAUGGUGAGGUAACGGCUCACCAUGGCUACGAUGUCUAGGGGGACUGGGAGGUUUUCCCCCCACACUGGUACUGAGACACGGACCAGACUCCUACGGGAGGCAGCAGUGAGGAAUAUUGGUCAAUGGACGCAAGUCUGAACCAGCCAUGCCGCGUGCAGGAUGACGGCUCUAUGAGUUGUAAACUGCUUUUAUACGAGGGUAAAAUAAGAUACGUGUAUCUUACUGAAAGUAUCGUAUGAAUAAGGAUCGGCUAACUCCGUGCCAGCAGCCGCAGUAAAAC
This 508-nucleotide ribosomal RNA is filed under the name uncultured bacterium. RNAcentral's name for it is "bacterial SSU rRNA". It matches the Rfam family "Bacterial small subunit ribosomal RNA", at positions 28 to 526 of the family's 1533-position model. The record is from RNAcentral.